AUAGAGCAACAGCUUCUAUACAGUUUUAAGUGGGCCCCGGUAACCUUCUCGCCUCGCCAAAGAUGAGGAAGUUUAUCGGGGUUUUUGCUU
Molecule: non-coding RNA, 90 nt
Organism: Yersinia pestis CO92
Lineage: Bacteria; Pseudomonadati; Pseudomonadota; Gammaproteobacteria; Enterobacterales; Yersiniaceae
Rfam family: CopA-like RNA
About the family: In several groups of bacterial plasmids, antisense RNAs regulate copy number through inhibition of replication initiator protein synthesis. These RNAs are characterised by a long hairpin structure interrupted by several unpaired residues or bulged loops.
Source: Rfam